Molecule: non-coding RNA, 219 nt
Organism: Vicia faba (fava bean)
Lineage: Eukaryota; Viridiplantae; Streptophyta; Magnoliopsida; Fabales; Fabaceae
Source: the annotation of a GenBank genome assembly
AUGCAAAACAAUCAACAAAAUUAUGAAUUUCAAAGACUGGAAGCAUGUGUCGUAGGAAUCACAAGAUGGGAAACAGAGCUUUCACCUACUUUAUAUGUUGACACCCCCUAUUUUGAUCUGACAUGGAGAAUCACUUUUGAGCACAAGACAUGGAACAAGAAAGAAGACGGGAGAAGAAUGGAUUUACAAAUAAUUGCAAUUGUAGCAUUGAACAAAUGA